Molecule: ribosomal RNA, 434 nt
Filed under: uncultured bacterium
Lineage: Bacteria
Description: bacterial SSU rRNA
Rfam family: Bacterial small subunit ribosomal RNA
Source: RNAcentral
UGAACGCUGGCGGCGUGCUUAACACAUGCAAGUCGAACGAACCUUCGGGUUAGUGGCGGACGGGUGAGUAACGCGUGAGAAUCUGCCCUCAGGAGGGGGAUAACAGCUGGAAACGGCUGCUAAUACCCCAUAUGCCGCGAGGUGAAAUGAAUUUCGCCUGAGGAUGAGCUCGCGUCUGAUUAGCUAGUUGGUGUAGGUAAUGGCUCACCAAGGCAUCGAUCAGUAGCUGGUCUGAGAGGAUGAUCAGCCACACUGGGACUGAGACACGGCCCAGACUCCUACGGGAGGCAGCAGUGGGGAAUUUUCCGCAAUGGGCGAAAGCCUGACGGAGCAACGCCGCGUGAGGGAUGAAGGCCUCUGGGCUGUAAACCUCUUUUAUCAAGGAAGAAACACACCUACGUGUAGGUGCUUGACGGUACUGUAAGAAUAAGCAC